UGACGUGAGACUCCUCCCCCUUCUCGUCGUUCUAAGAUGGCGACUCUGUGAAGAGAGAAGCCGUGGUUCGCGAUUUGAGAGAGAGAGAGGGGGAGACACGGGGUGGUGAUGGCGGAGGUGGCGGGCCCCACGGCGGAGGUGGCGAGCCCCACGGCGGAGGUGGCGAGCCCCACGGCGGAGGUGGCGAGCCCCACGGCGGAGGUGGCGAGCCCCACGACGGAGGUGGCGGAACCCACCGGAGAUUAGAGCCCUGUCGCGUACGGUCCUCACGACGGAGGUGGAGGUGAUCCCCGCGGCGGAGGAGGUGGUGAUCCCCACGGCGGAGGAGAGUCCCCACGGCGGAGGAGAGCCCCACGGCGGAGAGGGGGACAGAGGGGGAGGAGCGGCAGUGGCCCAGCGCAGAGGAGGAGGAGGAACGCAGCAGCAUGGCGGACUCGUCCAGCAGCGUUCUGUCUGCAAUGCCAUCCGACUCGGAGAGCAGUGGAUCAGUCUCUAGCCUGGGUAACCCUCACCACUCACUCACACUCACUCACCACUCACUCA
Petromyzon marinus (sea lamprey) is the source of this 543-nucleotide non-coding RNA. The record is from RefSeq and is a predicted model, not a curated record. NCBI's taxonomy places the organism in Eukaryota, Metazoa, Chordata, Hyperoartia, Petromyzontiformes, Petromyzontidae.